This 292-nucleotide ribosomal RNA is filed under the name uncultured cyanobacterium. Its description in RNAcentral is "partial 16S ribosomal RNA". It matches the Rfam family "Bacterial small subunit ribosomal RNA", at positions 504 to 795 of the family's 1533-position model. The record is from RNAcentral. Lineage: Bacteria; Bacillati; Cyanobacteriota.
CGUGCCAGCAGCCGCGGUAAUACGGAGGAGGCAAGCGUUUUCCGGAAUUAUUGGGCGUAAAGCGUCCGCAGGUGGCGAUUCAAGUCUGCUGUCAAAGCACGGGGCUUAACUCCGUUAAGGCAGUGGAAACUGAAUGGCUAGAGUGCCGUAGGGGUAGAGGGAAUUCCCGGUGUAGCGGUGAAAUGCGUAAAGAUCGGGAAGAACAUCGGUGGCGAAAGCGCUCUACUGGACGGCAACUGACACUCAGGGACGAAAGCUAGGGGAGCGAAUGGGUUUAGAUACCCCAGUAGUC